AACCGGUCGGGGAUCCUGGCAGCUGCAGAUGGCUUCAAGUGUGAGUCGACCUGGAGCUUCGAGGAGGAGGCGCAGCCCCAAGUGCAAUCUACAAAUUAACGAAUUUAGCCAUCAUAUUUAUCGGCUAUUGUCAUAUAUAACUUCAAUCAAAGCUUAAAAACCAUUCAAACAAGACAAUUUGAAGCCAAAGGAUAGUAUAAUGAAUUAUUUAUUAUUGAAUGCUAUAUUUUGUAUGCUGUUUAAGCUUUUUCAUCAAAUAUCCCCGCUUGUCGGAGCAUCCAGACAUCUUAAAGGGAGACUGCUAGACUGCACCCAAAAACUAACUUCAUUGUUAUCGAUUCUUUUGGUUUCGGGAGAAUCUCGAUUUCUUUGUGGAUCAAUCGAUGUAUCGUCACCGUUCUCUAUAGCUUAUCCGACUAUUCUACGGCAUUGUUCGGCUCAUUCAUCAGAGGCUUAGAAAGAGACAGGAGCUAUCGUUUUGAGACUUUUCCUUGCCAUUGGAGGACUUGCUGACACCAUUCUGGGUAGAUUCGCUUGACUAGGAAGAGUUGGUGGACGAGUGCCUCUACAACUCAGCACCUCAAUUACGGAUGGAAAAUCUCUUCGCAUGUCGGGCACUCCAUUAAAGUUACCAAUGAACAUCUUACAUCAAUCAAAUCAAUUUGGUGUUGAUUGCGGAAUUUCCAUUUUUUAUUCCGAAGACGAUUUAAAUAAAUACAAAUUUAUUAAUGUAUAAAAACAUACAUGUUUACUCACACUCAAUAUGUUGUCAUGUCUUAUCUUAUAUUUGACAAUAUAUAGGAGUGGAUAAUAAAAUGAUAAAAACGGGUGUAUUGGUAUAAAAAAUUCAACAUAAUGUCCUCAUGAAAUCGAUUUAAACCGAAAUUAAAGCAUACAGUGGCCAAUAGAUUCCAAGAAAAAUAAAAAUUACUUCCAUUGAGAAUUUAUUUUUUAAGAAGAAAUUGUGAAUAUUUUGGGAGUUUUAGUUUUGGCGUCAAGUUCCAAAGACUUGGACAAUGCACUACAGGUGGCUGACCACAUUUUUGGGCCACAAAUCCAUUUUUCGAAAGUCGUUGUCGGGAAAACAUCAAACUUCAAUGUUACGUAACAAAAACGGCACCAAACUAAGUUUUUAUCAAACAAGUUGUAAUGGCAUCGAAAGAGAGCGGUUUGUACUAUAUGUUUGAGU
This is a non-coding RNA of Drosophila suzukii, 1189 nucleotides long. Lineage: Eukaryota; Metazoa; Arthropoda; Insecta; Diptera; Drosophilidae. The record is from RefSeq and is a predicted model, not a curated record.